CAGCUGCGAUUGUGUUUGUGUUUGUGGAAAGCUCCUGUGAAUCUGAUAUUCCCGUCUGAUCCCUACUGAGGGCUGAUAUCUGUAUUUAUAGAGACACAGACUGGAUUCACUGCAUUCUGUCAGUGUGACUGGGACGUGUGUGAUAUUGCAUUUACCAUCAUGGACCAGAACUGAGAUGGAUUCAUUGACAAGAAUGACCUGAGGGACACGUUUGCAGCUCUAGUGUCUCUCCAGUGUGACUGAGAUGUUGACCACACAAGCCGACCGCUUCUCUGCUGAGGAGAUGGUGCAGAUGGUCACCGCAUUCCCACCACACGCUACGGGAAACCUGGACUACCGCAAUCUGGUCCACAUCAUCACACACGGAGAGGAGAAGGACCAGGAGUAGAUCACACGCUCCUCAGCCAAUCACAGCGCUCCCUGCGUGUCUGUACCCGCCCACUUAUUUAUAACUGACAGGCUUGCUGUUGCUGAAACGAGAAUGUGAUGAUGUUAUGUGGAUUUUUGCACCUGCUACCCGUCAAAGUGUACUUUUAAAAUACAUUUAUAUGAAAA
Carassius gibelio (silver crucian carp) is the source of this 555-nucleotide long non-coding RNA. RefSeq lists it as uncharacterized. The record is from RefSeq and is a predicted model, not a curated record. The transcript has 4 exons. NCBI's taxonomy places the organism in Eukaryota, Metazoa, Chordata, Actinopteri, Cypriniformes, Cyprinidae.